Non-coding RNA from Vicia faba (fava bean), 225 nucleotides. The record is from the annotation of a GenBank genome assembly. NCBI's taxonomy places the organism in Eukaryota, Viridiplantae, Streptophyta, Magnoliopsida, Fabales, Fabaceae.
AUGCUGUCAGCGUCGUCGGAACGGGCAUCCGAGCGGACGUCGGAGAAGAUUCGCCGGGGUUAUAUCGUGUUGCCCCAUUUGCAAGGAGAUCGGCGGAGGAAGGCACUGUGGACGGCCGCAAAUUCGUUUGCGUCGGUAGCUUUGUCUUCUCACUAUGACUGGAUGCGUGGUCGUGGUUGUCUCAGAAACGAGGAUCGCAUCAACUUUUUCUUUUGUUUCAGUUAG